AUGCAUGGUAAGGAAGAAGAAGCAGAAGCAGAAACAGUGCCUAGGCUAGAAGAAGCACAGCUGCAGCUAGGCAUAUCUGAAACCUAUCACCCUCGAACAACCAGACUGCAUCUUCUGAAGAAAUGGCCACUUGUCAUGCUGUUAACUGAAGAAAUCAACACCCAGCGGUCAGGUCGCGCCAAACCAGGCUCAUCUUCGAGAGCCCUGGAGCUCAUCUUCCUCUACUUGGGAUGUAACAUGGAACGGAGGGUACGGACCUGCCUGUUGGUGAAAAUAAAUGGCCGGCUUCUUCUCAGCAGAAGAAAGAAUGCUUCUCAUCUCAGCUGGGUUGCUUCAUGUCCUGGCCUUGAGUUGUAUUCCGGAAAUCCUAUUCCAGACUGUAGGGUCUUGAGAAGAUGCUCCUGA
This 405-nucleotide ribosomal RNA is filed under the name Triticum aestivum (bread wheat). RNAcentral's name for it is "partial small subunit ribosomal RNA". The record is from RNAcentral. Lineage: Eukaryota; Viridiplantae; Streptophyta; Magnoliopsida; Poales; Poaceae.